GGCUGCGAGGGCGCCGGGCGCUGGUGGGCGGCGGGGAGGCCAAGUGGGACGUGGCUUUCGCUCUUUAAGGGGAGAAGUUGGGGGAAAGUUUUGUUUAAGAGGAGACAAAACUCCGAGCCCGCCGCUCGCCGAGCUCGGCCCCGCACCUGGCGCUCGCGGCCGGCCGGCCGGCGUCCUGGCUUCGGUGAGCGGCCCGCGGGGUCGGCCGGGCGGCGGCGGCGCGAUGUGGCCCGAGGGCGCGGACGAGCGGCGGGCGCCCGAGCAGCCCCGCGACCGCCCCCGGAGCCCCGCGCGCGCCGCCCUCGAGCGCGAGCACGUGCGCGCGCACCUGCGGGCCCGCCUGAAGCUGCUGGAGGUGGGGAUCCUGCUGGACCGGCUGCAGCGCGAGGUGGACUCGGUGGAGGGCGCCGUGGGCCAGGGCCGCUGCGGGAGCGGCGAGGCGGAGGAGCGGGUGCUGAAGCUGUACGAGAAGGCGGAGAGGAAGGCCGCCGAGGUGGCGCGGAUGGGGCGGAGGAUCGUGGAGCUCCACGGCCAGAUCGACAGCUGCGGCUUCUCCUGAAGGACGCGGGCGCGGUGUGGAGCGUUUCGCUUGACCCUUUUCUGCGAGAAGCGGCAUUCUGCAUGCGCAAUUUCACGGUUUAUCCCAGGACAGUGGACUCUUACAGGUGUCAGAGAGAAAGCCGGACGCUAGUCGAAGCGGUUCACCGUCAGACUCUGGGUGACCGGUCCGCUGACGCCCUGGAAAAGCUGAAACCCGAGAACCUGUUGUUCUCACUUCUGUUUUUCUGUAGACGUCGUUUCUACGUAUACUGUUAAAUCCGCAUGUUAGUCUGUGUGGUGACCACUGUGUGGUGAUAGGUUGCCAAAUGUAUUUAGUUCUGCGAAGAACUUUUACUGGGGAAAGGUUCUGAAAGCAGUUUGAGUCUAGAUUGUAAACUGAUGAGGUGGUCAUGUUUUUAUGCUUGGAAUUUCUCGAUGUUUUACAUUUUUCUGUUUCUGGGCAUUGGACUAUCUCUCAUGUGACCUAAUCACUGCUGGAAAGUCUGGGCCGAGGAAGACACCGUGUCAGUUGUCAAAGAGCGGAGUUGCUGAAGGAGUUGCGCCUGCUUCGCUGGAAAGUGCCACCAGAAGAGGGAUGGGAAGUGGUGGUGACAAGUUCAGAACUUGUCAUUUCUCUGUGACACCAACAAGGCUUCCCUCUGAAAUUAAGUCGCAGUAUUUGGCGCAUGUAACGUGAACUCUUGGGAGAGCUUGGACAACCCGGCAGAGUCUGAUUUGUGGUUGUGUUCUUACAUUUUGUUUGUGGUCUGGCUUAAGGUUCAGCCUCACGGACAGCUCUCGGUAGUGCAUUUCCGGCUCUCUGAGGCCUGGAAAGAGGGAUGUGCCUUAAUGGUCCCAGAAAGGAGCUGUGGCCUUAAACUGAACAGGGCCAGCACCAUUUCAUGGGCUGUUAAUUGUCUGGUUACGCUCAUUUGAAUAGCACACACACCCCCA
Leopardus geoffroyi (Geoffroy's cat) is the source of this 1494-nucleotide RNA transcript. It is a transcript of the gene named putative MORF4 family-associated protein 1-like protein UPP, with no coding region annotated. NCBI's taxonomy places the organism in Eukaryota, Metazoa, Chordata, Mammalia, Carnivora, Felidae. The record is from RefSeq and is a predicted model, not a curated record. The transcript is spliced from 3 exons.